UACGUAGGGAGCAAGCGUUGUCCGGAAUCAUUGGGCGUAAAGCGCGCGUAGGUGGCUUCGUAAGUCCGUUGUGAAAGUCAAAGGCUCAACCUUUGAAAGCCGAUGGAUACUGUGAAGCUAGAGUACGGAAGAGGCGAGUGGAAUUCCUGGUGUAGCGGUGGAAUGCGCAGAUAUCAGGAGGAGCACCAAUAGCGAAGGCAGCUCGCUGGGACGUUACUGACACUGAGGCGCGAAAGCGUGGGGAGCGAACAGG
RNAcentral lists this ribosomal RNA (253 nucleotides) under uncultured bacterium. Its description in RNAcentral is "partial 16S ribosomal RNA". It matches the Rfam family "Bacterial small subunit ribosomal RNA", at positions 524 to 776 of the family's 1533-position model. The record is from RNAcentral.